RNAcentral lists this ribosomal RNA (492 nucleotides) under uncultured bacterium. RNAcentral describes it as "partial 16S ribosomal RNA". It matches the Rfam family "Bacterial small subunit ribosomal RNA", at positions 27 to 506 of the family's 1533-position model. The record is from RNAcentral.
GAGUGAACGCUGGCGGUAGGCCUAACACAUGCAAGUCGAACGGCAGCACAGUAAGAGCUUGCUCUUACGGGUGGCGAGUGGCGGACGGGUGAGGAAUACAUCGGAAUCUACUUUUUCGUGGGGGAUAACGUAGGGAAACUUACGCUAAUACCGCAUACGACCUACGGGUGAAAGCAGGGGAUCUUCGGACCUUGCGCGAUUGAAUGAGCCGAUGUCGGAUUAGCUAGUUGGCGGGGUAAAGGCCCACCAAGGCGACGAUCCGUAGCUGGUCUGAGAGGAUGAUCAGCCACACUGGAACUGAGACACGGUCCAGACUCCUACGGGAGGCAGCAGUGGGGAAUAUUGGACAAUGGGCGCAAGCCUGAUCCAGCCAUACCGCGUGGGUGAAGAAGGCCUUCGGGUUGUAAAGCCCUUUUGUUGGGAAAGAAAAGCAGCAGGUUAAUACCCCGCUGUUCUGACGGUACCCAAAGAAUAAGCACCGGCGAACUUCGU